GAUGAACGCUGGCGGCGUGCUUAACACAUGCAAGUCGAACGGAAAGGCUCCUGCUUGCUGGGGUACUCGAGUGGCGAACGGGUGAGUAACACGUGGGUGACCUGCCCUGCACUUUGGGAUAAGCUUGGGAAACUGGGGCUAAUACCGGAUAGGACGAUGGUCUGGAUGCCAUUGUUGGAAGUUUUUCGGUGGGGGAUGAGCUCGCGGCCUAUCAGCUUGUUGGUGGGGUAGUGGCCUACCAAGGCGUCGACGGGUAGCCGGCCUGAGAGGGUGAACGGCCACAUUGGGACUGAGAUACGGCCCAGACUCCUACGGGAGGCAGCAGUGGGGAAUAUUGCACAAUGGGCGGAAGCCUGAUGCAGCGACGCCGCGUGGGGGAUGACGGCCUUCGGGUUGUAAACUCCUUUCGCUAGGGACGAAGCGCAAGUGACGGUAACGGGAAAAGAAGCACCGGCUAACUACGUG
This 465-nucleotide ribosomal RNA is filed under the name uncultured bacterium. Its description in RNAcentral is "partial 16S ribosomal RNA". It matches the Rfam family "Bacterial small subunit ribosomal RNA", at positions 28 to 507 of the family's 1533-position model. The record is from RNAcentral.